AUAUUCUGCCCACAGGGAAGGAUGAGAAGCUUCGACUAAGGUUCGACUCGAGCGAAGCGAGAGAACGUUGCCGCAGGCAACGGCCGAAGAGCGAGGCGCUUUAGCGCCGAGUAAUCCUUCCCCACCACUG
This 130-nucleotide small RNA is filed under the name Klebsiella pneumoniae. Its description in RNAcentral is "RtT sRNA". It matches the Rfam family "RtT RNA". From Rfam's summary of the family: This family represents a bacterial cis-regulatory element known as RtT RNA. The record is from RNAcentral. Lineage: Bacteria; Pseudomonadati; Pseudomonadota; Gammaproteobacteria; Enterobacterales; Enterobacteriaceae.